GGGCGCGCCGAAUCCUCCGCCAACCGGCGGGCGCCACGCGUCGCGCAUCUGCAGGUCUUCGAUCGGCGCGGAAGCAUCUCGGCCGUCGGUCGGCCCUAUAUAUAUAGGACCUCCCGGACCCCUGACCCACACUUGCCAUUCUACAGGGGAAACUCUGUCCGGGCGAUUUCUCAGUCGUCGCGGGCAGAGCUCUUCUUCGCUUCCGGAGGGUCCAUUUGGUUCGUGGCCCCUUCUUCUCCUUCUUCUUCCUUCUCUUCUCUUUCUUCUUCCUUCUCUUCUCUUUCUUCUUUUUCUUUCGGUUCCGGCAUAAUGACCAGGAAUCCGACCCAGGGAGCUCGGUCGGGGAACCCGACCGACGACUCCCGAUCGGCUUCGAAAGAUGAGGCCUCCUCGCUUUCGGGGCCGAACGUCGAUCAGCUUCGGGAGCACUAUCGCAUCCCGGAGCAGUUUCGGCUCUCCGCUCCAGGGGCCGGCGGUCGGGUCAACAACCCUCCGCCUGGCGAUCUGGCGCNNN
Molecule: long non-coding RNA, 514 nt
Filed under: Elaeis guineensis (African oil palm)
Lineage: Eukaryota; Viridiplantae; Streptophyta; Magnoliopsida; Arecales; Arecaceae
Description: long non-coding RNA (EGUI_LNC001711)
Source: RNAcentral